Molecule: non-coding RNA, 175 nt
Filed under: Shewanella benthica KT99
Lineage: Bacteria; Pseudomonadati; Pseudomonadota; Gammaproteobacteria; Alteromonadales; Shewanellaceae
Description: partial 23S ribosomal RNA
Rfam family: Bacterial large subunit ribosomal RNA
Source: RNAcentral
GUUCGGAUCGAUAACCGCUGAAGCAUCUAAGCGGGAAGCGAGUCCUAAGAUGAGUCAUCCCUAGGGAUUUAAUUCCUCUAAAGAGCCGUUCGAGACUAGGACGUUGAUAGGCAGGGUGUGUAAGUGCUGUGAGGCAUUGAGCUACCUGUACUAAUGACUCGUGAGGCUUAACCAU